Molecule: ribosomal RNA, 700 nt
Filed under: uncultured Bacilli bacterium
Lineage: Bacteria; Bacillati; Bacillota; Bacilli
Description: bacterial SSU rRNA
Rfam family: Bacterial small subunit ribosomal RNA
Source: RNAcentral
AGGUCAGCGGCGGACGGGUGAGUAACACGUGGGUAACCUGCCUGUAAGACUGGGAUAACUCCGGGAAACCGGGGCUAAUACCGGAUGCUUGAUUGAACCGCAUGGUUCAAUCAUAAAAGGUGGCUUUUAGCUACCACUUGCAGAUGGACCCGCGGCGCAUUAGCUAGUUGGUGAGGUAACGGCUCACCAAGGCGACGAUGCGUAGCCGACCUGAGAGGGUGAUCGGCCACACUGGGACUGAGACACGGCCCAGACUCCUACGGGAGGCAGCAGUAGGGAAUCUUCCGCAAUGGACGAAAGUCUGACGGAGCAACGCCGCGUGAGUGAUGAAGGUUUUCGGAUCGUAAAACUCUGUUGUUAGGGAAGAACAAGUACCGUUCGAAUAGGGCGGUACCUUGACGGUACCUAACCAGAAAGCCACGGCUAACUACGUGCCAGCAGCCGCGGUAAUACGUAGGUGGCAAGCGUUGUCCGGAAUUAUUGGGCGUAAAGCGCGCGCAGGCGGUUUCUUAAGUCUGAUGUGAAAGCCCCCGGCUCAACCGGGGAGGGUCAUUGGAAACUGGGGAACUUGAGUGCAGAAGAGGAGAGUGGAAUUCCACGUGUAGCGGUGAAAUGCGUAGAGAUGUGGAGGAACACCAGUGGCGAAGGCGACUCUCUGGUCUGUAACUGACGCUGAGGCGCGAAAGCGUGGGGAGCGAAC